GAUGAACACUAGCUACAGGCUUAACACAUGCAAGUCGAGGGGAACGGCAUUUAGUGCUUGCACCGAAUGGACGUCGACCGGCGCACGGGUGAGUAACGCGUAUCCAACCUACCCAUUACUGUGGGAUAACCUGCCGAAAGGCAGACUAAUCCGCAUGGUCUUCGAUGAUGGCAUCAGAUUUGAAGUAAGAUUUAUCGGUAAUGGAUGGGAUGCGUUGAUUAGCUUGUUGGCGGGGUACGGCCCCCAAGGCCGAUCAGUAGGGUUUGAGAGGAAGGUCCCCCCAUUGGAACUGAGCACGGUCCAACUCCUACGGGAGGCAGCAGUGAGGAAUAUUGGUCAAUGGGCGCGAGCCUGAACCAGCCAAGUAGCGUGCAGGAUACGGCCCUAUGGAGAUUGUAAUCUGCUUUUGUAUGGGAUAAAGUUAGGACGUGUCCCUAUUU
This 440-nucleotide ribosomal RNA is filed under the name Prevotella sp. oral taxon E04. Its description in RNAcentral is "bacterial SSU rRNA". It matches the Rfam family "Bacterial small subunit ribosomal RNA", at positions 28 to 470 of the family's 1533-position model. The record is from RNAcentral. Lineage: Bacteria; Pseudomonadati; Bacteroidota; Bacteroidia; Bacteroidales; Prevotellaceae.